UUUUGUAGGGGUGCCAUUUGGCUGAGAUCAUACCCGUUAACCUGAUCUAGAUAAUGCUAGCGUAGGGAUGAAGAG
This 75-nucleotide non-coding RNA is filed under the name bovine gut metagenome. The record is from RNAcentral.